CCAGGGAAUGCCAAACAUACGGCGAGUGAGCGGCAACAGCUCAAAUUUGAAAGCUAGCCUUCGGGUUCGCAUUGUAAUUUGUAGAGGAUGAUUUGGGGAAGCCGCCUGUCUAAGUUCCUUGGAACAGGACGUCAUAGAGGGUGAGAAUCCCGUAUGUGACAGGAAAUGGCACCCUAUGUAAAUCUCCUUCGACGAGUCGAGUUGUUUGGGAAUGCAGCUCUAAAUGGGAGGUAAAUUUCUUCUAAAGCUAAAUAUUGGCGAGAGACCGAUAGCGCACAAGUAGAGUGAUCGAAAGAUGAAAAGCACUUUGGAAAGAGAGUUAAAAAGCACGUGAAAUUGUUGAAAGGGAAGCGCUUGCAAUCAGACUUGUUUAAACUGUUCGGCCGGUCUUCUGACCGGUUUACUCAGUUUGGACAGGCCAGCAUCAGUUUCGGCGGCCGGAUAAAGGCUCUGGGAAUGUGGCCUCCACUUCGGUGGAGGUGUUAUAGCCCAGGGUGUAAUACGGCCAGCCGGGACUGAGGUCCGCGCUUCGGCUAGGAUGCUGGCGUAAUGGUUGUAAGCGACCCGUCUUGAACCACGGACCAAAAAGGCAUAU
RNAcentral lists this ribosomal RNA (595 nucleotides) under Aureobasidium pullulans. RNAcentral describes it as "eukaryotic LSU rRNA". It matches the Rfam family "Eukaryotic large subunit ribosomal RNA", at positions 68 to 679 of the family's 3401-position model. The record is from RNAcentral. Lineage: Eukaryota; Fungi; Ascomycota; Dothideomycetes; Dothideales; Saccotheciaceae.